UACGGGGGGGGCAAGCGUUGUUCGGAAUUACUGGGCGUAAAGGGCUUGUAGGUGGCCAACUAAGUCAGACGUGAAAUCCCUCGGCUUAACCGGGGAACUGCGUCUGAUACUGGAUGGCUCGAGUGUGGGAGAGGGAUGCGGAAUUCCAGGUGUAGCGGUGAAAUGCGUAGAUAUCUGGAGGAACACCGGUGGCGAAGGCGGCAUCCUGGACCGGCAUUGACGCUGAGGAGCGAAAGCUAGGGGAGCAAACGGG
RNAcentral lists this ribosomal RNA (253 nucleotides) under uncultured bacterium. Its description in RNAcentral is "partial 16S ribosomal RNA". It matches the Rfam family "Bacterial small subunit ribosomal RNA", at positions 524 to 776 of the family's 1533-position model. The record is from RNAcentral.